RNAcentral lists this ribosomal RNA (561 nucleotides) under Triticum aestivum (bread wheat). RNAcentral describes it as "partial small subunit ribosomal RNA". The record is from RNAcentral. Lineage: Eukaryota; Viridiplantae; Streptophyta; Magnoliopsida; Poales; Poaceae.
AUGAAAAUCUGGAAGCACAUAAGCACAGAGCUACAGCUUUUAGAAAAAACCAUCGAUCAUUUCAAAAAGGUCAAACUGCAGGUGCCACUUCAUGGAGAAGACACAAUGGACUGCGCAUUCUAUAUGUUCAUGAACCUGAAGCACUACUCCAAUGAUGGAACAGCAGCAACCUUAAAGCCAGAACAAGUACCAGAGUUGAGGAAAAAAAUUCUAUAUCAACUAAUUAGUCAACACAGAGGGAAUACCAAACUGUCACUAAUCAAGUGUACAACAAAUAUGCUGAAGUAUGAAGUAGAUAUGGAAGACAAAGAAAUGCAACAGGAAGAAUGUUGUGUACUAGAAGAGUUUCCGCCAACUCCUGACCCAAAAGAACAUAUUAUGCGUGCGACAACCACACAAGAGAAUGAAGUUAUUGAUAUAUCCAGUAAACGCAAAGAGAUUAUGGAUGUCAGCAGCCACGCCGUCGCCCAAGAAUCUUGCACUGACCACGAACAAAAUGAUCCACCAAUAGAACCAGAUCAACCACCACCAGACGACAAGAUACCACACCAUGCUGAAUAG